Molecule: small RNA, 3559 nt
Filed under: Notamacropus eugenii (tammar wallaby)
Lineage: Eukaryota; Metazoa; Chordata; Mammalia; Diprotodontia; Macropodidae
Description: H19
Source: RNAcentral
AAAGGCGGGUGGGGGGUGGGACUUGGACAGGGCCAGUCCGGUCUCGCUCCAGAGCGGGAAGCUCGGAGCAUGUAGAGGGGGACCAGCUUGGGUGGCGGCUGGCUAGCCCCAGCCAAGCCCAGUGGCAGCCGCGGCAGAUGGGCUUGAUCAGGACAGGAGCAUUGCGGUUGAAUCUGUUGGUGUUGGUCGUUGGGCUACUUCCUGCCAUGGCCCAGGCUUCUCGCACAAGGACCAGUGAGAGGUGGCCUGAGCAAUGGCAGGACCCGGACAGACAGCGGGGAAGGAAAUGGCGGUGCCACCGAGGGUAGGUGAGGAUGGGAGGCGCUCUGGCAGGCAGGCUGGCGAGGCGGACGGACGCGCAGCGACCCCGCUCAGCCACGCGGGCUUUCCGCGCUGUGCGCCUUCGGCUCCUCAUCUGUAGAAUUAGGGGUUGGACUAGAUGAUCUCCCCGGCUCGAGCUCGGACAUUCUGCCAUUCUCUGUGGAGCUGUAUCCGAGAGACUGUAGAAAAGGUGGGAUUGGAAGGAGGCAACAUCUUGGCGUUGGAGCCGCGUGCUUACCGAGCCGGAGCCCCGGAGAAUCCCGAUUGUCUGAGCCAGCAGAGACGGGGAGGUCUUCUCCUCCAACCCCUCGUUUUAGGGAUAGAGUCGCUGAGGGACAGAGCGGGGAAAGGACUUGCUUCCCCUUAGAGGCCUUGAGAAGGGAUUAGAACAGGAGAGAGGAGAAGGCGAGAUGAGAUCAGGAUUGGAAACUGAACCUCAGGGAGAGCCCCAAGCUAAAGAGCAGGAGAUGAAGGUGUAAUCAGCGGAGACCGAGGAGUAACCAGACAGACGGAAAGAGACCCAGACAAUGUAGCUUCAUGGAGGGCAGGAGGAAAACGUCAGGAAGGAGGAGGUGAGGAACACCACCAGAGCAGCAGCGGCCAAGUAGAGCCGUCCUGGAGAGAGCCACUUCUGGAGAGGGGAAGAGCGAGGCGAGGGAGGCAGGCAGGCGGUGUAGACGAGGAGCUCCAUUCACUGGACCAUAGAAGAGAGGCGCAAACUAGAGCAGCUCUCAAAGGACACUAGUCGAGCCAAGGCGGCUAGGAUCCGGGAGAGAGCUGGGGAGAGGACCAGGGAGCCAGGUCCUCGGGCAGAGCGAGGGCUCACAGACAGGAGCGCUGCUGAUGACCUCCGGCUCGUCGCUGCGAGGCGAAGGCAUCUGCAGAGAGACCGCGGGAAGAAGCAGGACGCCCUUACGCCCAGGCAGGCAGGCAGACAGGCAGGCAGGCUGAGGCUAGCUAGGCCAGGGGAGGUGCAUGCUCCCGCGACCUUCUCCAGGAACUCUGCAGCCCGGGAGCCGGAGCGGAGAAAGCAAACAGUGGAGGCUCCGAGCACUGUCUGCUUUAUCCGCUCCUGCUCCUGGGGCUGACCUAGCAAACGCGCAGCGGAAGGCCAAGGAUGCCGGGGUGUCAAGGGUGCUAGUGAGGGCAGCAGAGAAAUGGCUCACCAUGGAGGAGCAGAGGUUGGUUGGGGACGUGAAUCUGUCUGGAAGGGGGCGAGCGGAGGGACCCUCACGAGCUGGGAGGGCUUCAGUGAUUGAAGGGCCCCCUGAGGGUGGCGAGGGGAAGCCAGUCAGGAAGCGAAGCUCCCUGAGUAGUCUGAAGUCACACCAGUACGAGAUGGUGGAGGUGAAGCAUCUGCCCAGUGGGCACCCGAUGGGAAUGAGCAGAGCAACAUGAAAGUCGGAGCGCCAUGAAGGACAAAGGAUGGUGAGUAGGGGCUUCACAUGAGGGCGAGGAGAAGGGGGGGGUGUCCCUGGCGCCUCUUCAGAGAGGCCCCGAGCUCAGCUGGAAGGAUGCCCAUGCUGAGCCACGGCCCCUGGGAGCCCUGCUGGGUUAGGUCUCAAGGGGGAUGAGGAUGAAGGGUUUGUCUCCCUUAGCAACAUAGCCUCCAUGCACUUUGUGGUUUGGUCCCUAUAGGAAACAGAGAGGUAUCAUCAGAAAAACAUAGAUACCAGGGCUGCAGUCCCCAUGCUAGUCAAUCAGAAGAUCAUUGGCAAAGACACGAGCAGAUGGGAUGGACCGUCCAGGCUCUGUAAAGGUGAGUGAGGUUUGUGGCCCCUUGGAUUCCCCAGGACCUGAGAGAACACAGAUGGGGAAACUGAGGCCCAGGGAGAACUUGCCCAAUGUCACGUAGAGAGCAGAAGUAAAGCCAGAACCAAUGUUCCUUCCACUGCCCCACCCUGCCUAUCUGUCUCCCCCACCUACCAUAUGCCUCCUGACUUCCCCAGCAUUAGCUAACAGUCCGGAAUAUCAGGAUCCCCAGGACACAGAGGUGUGGGACUGAGGCCAGGGCAAGAGUCCAACAUCCUGUAUCCUGCUAUACAAUGAAACCACCCCCACCCCCACCCUGCCCCACCACACACACACACACACACACACACACACACACACACACCUGGCUCCCAGUUAACCCUUUCUAAUCCCCAUCACUUUCCUUUCUCUUGCCAGAUCAAUCAACUGAUCACUUCACUGAUCUAGCAGCAGUCAGGGAAGGAGCCUUUCUCACCCAGCCAACUCCCCCCAGGCAUAAGCAUGUGGGCAUGAAGAAAGGGUAAGUUACAGCCAGUCAGGGACCUACGGCACCCAUGUAGGGGGAGUGAGCCACGAGGAAAGGGUCUCUCAGCUGACCCAAGACCCCCAGCUCGGAGGUGGCCAUGCUCACGCCUCUUUUCUUGAUCUUACAGAUUACAUCCUGGCCAAGGUCCCAGUUCAGGGGACUGUCCCAGGACAGGACCUUUUCCCAUCUGCUAACAAGAUGCCACUUGAUUCAGACAGCAUGGCCAGAAAGGUAAGCAUAAACAGACCCUUCCCCGUGCUGCCUAUGGGGGCCUCUGCACCUCAUGCUUGAAUCCCCCAUUUACAGCUAGCUAUAUUGAUCAUAUCCUUGCUUUACCAGGCCACAGGCCCAAGACCCUGGAUUGACGUGUUGACUGCAAAGAAGAAUGCUGACCCACUGGGGUUACCGAAUCCCCUCACCUAGAGAAGAGAGAACCUCAGAGAAGACAAGAACUGAGAUGCUUCCAAAAGCCCUCCCCAAGAAAGACCCAAGCCCCCCACUCCAGUGUUGCGCCAAUAACCCAGCCUCUGUUUUCUCCCCUCAAAACCCAUCACCUCCAUGAAGCCUUCCAUGAUGAGAGAUCCCCUCCCCCCCACUCCACCCCUUCCCCUGAUCCUGGCUUUACCAUCCCCCUCUCCCUCCAGCCCCCCACCCUCCCCUCCAAAUGUAAUGUCCCUCGAUUCUGCGACCCUGAAGCCCUUACAGAUUCCAAUUGCACUAACUAGUUCGUUUGCACUGAUACGUGUGCACGGUCCCCACGAGUGUGUGAGUGAGUGUGCGUAUGUGUGUCUGUGUUGGUCCUGUCUCGGCUAGCCUGCUCCCCCACGAGCCCAGGCUAGUCCUCCACUUACACCUCUUACAGUUCUCUCCCCUGUUCCCCCUCCCCCAGAGCCUGCCCGCCAGGGCUGGCUCUGCACACACUCAAUAAACACUGUUGACAGACAGCAGGGUUUCUCAGGA